UCAACUGUAAUUACCCAGACUGAUACAAGAGACUGGUGUUCACAACAUGGACUGAAAAGUUUAUAUUCCUCCGUUCUCACUUCCCCUUCCCAAGUAUACUAUCUACAAUUUGCAAGGAGGAAAGUGGUUUCAGGUCUUGAAGGUUACAAUUACAGACCAACAUUGCCACCUAAUGUUUUACUACUCAUUCCGAGGGAAAGAAGCACUUCUGUGGCAUUGACAAAGGAGGAUUUCCACGACUCAGUAUUGGAUUUGCGGAUUUGUAUGUGGAUGAAAAUAACAGCAACGAAAUCAUCACUAUCCUUUGCUUGAACCCGAGCUUAUUAAUAUGUAUGAGCAUGACAGAUAAAAAGGGAUUUCUCAAGCCACAUCUCUUAAUAAAUUUGAAAGUAGAGCAAAGGUAACAUUACCUGAUGAAUUUUAU
RNAcentral lists this long non-coding RNA (424 nucleotides) under Chinchilla lanigera (long-tailed chinchilla). RNAcentral describes it as "lncRNA (ENSCLAG00000027284.1)". The record is from RNAcentral. Lineage: Eukaryota; Metazoa; Chordata; Mammalia; Rodentia; Chinchillidae.